Molecule: small RNA, 83 nt
Filed under: Marmota monax (woodchuck)
Lineage: Eukaryota; Metazoa; Chordata; Mammalia; Rodentia; Sciuridae
Source: RNAcentral
GCCAGGCUCAGUGGUGUAUGCCUGUAAUUCCAGCAUCUUGGGAGGCUGAGGCAGGAGGAUUGUGAAUUCAAAGCCAGCCUCAA